Molecule: long non-coding RNA, 8023 nt
Organism: Gallus gallus (chicken)
Lineage: Eukaryota; Metazoa; Chordata; Aves; Galliformes; Phasianidae
Exons: 5
Source: RefSeq, a predicted model, not a curated record
CACAUGGAACAAGUCCUGAUUUUACACAGUGAAGUAAGUGCAAAGCAAAAGCACAUGGAAGAAAUGCAGAUAUGCAGAUGGAACUUACAGACCUUCCGUCUUUAUUUCAUUACAAACUGCCAGUUAAAAUCAUUCCUGGAUCUGGAAUUGCUGGUGAAAAGUUAUAUAUGGUGAGUGACAGCCCAGAACGUGCAGUCCAUUUUAUUUAUAUUUAAUUAGAGGGAAAAAAAUGAAAGAGAAAAGGGAAAAGGCACGAGAACAGAAGGCUAAAGAAAUAGGAGCUGAAAAAAAAAAAAAAAAAGAAGAAGAAAGGAAGAAAAAAGCAGGGACAUUUCUGAUGUCAUUCUCCAGCAAUUAAUCACAGAUUAGUAAAAAGUUCAAGCACAGAACCUGCAGCCUUAUCUUGGUUUCUAAGUCUCAGUGUGAUCUACAGAACAGCCCACUUAGGAGAAAAUGCAUUCACCUCCUGGCUGACUCAUCCUCAGACAUUUGCCUUUCGCCCUUAUUUGUAUUUCUGCUACUACGGAACCUCUGCUGCUCUGCCAAAAGCACCUUUGCAGGAUUCGCCAAUCCCUUUUUUCUGCAGCAGGAGCAGCGAGAGACCUGCUGCACUGCCCCCCUGCAAGAACAAAUCCUCCACCUGUGAUUUCUUAAAAUGUUUUCUUUGGGAAGAGGAUGACGAAAUUAUAUUCUCUCAGUUUACUUCCAGAAAUCAGAAAGUUUGCUAACUUAGGCUGAGUUACAUCUACUUUUAUUUAUUCCAUCUAGGGAUAGGUAUUCCUCUGAUACUCUACAGGCAAAGAUUAGGAUAAGGCACAUCACUACAGACAUUGGGAAGCUCCAUUUUUGGUGACUGUGCACUGUGCAGCUGAACUGAUUGCAUGAAGAAACUACAGUGAUUUCCUGUGAGCUGCAGAUCCUGUUCACAUUGCUGGCUCCACAAGCCUACAAGCCCCAGUGCAGUGCACAGGCACACACUGUCUCACAUUAUUUGAACUGAUGCAACUCCCUCAGUAAAAUAAAAUAAAAUAAAAUUUAUAAAACGAAGCAACCAAGUUCUCGUGAUUUUCCUAAUUCCAUUUUGAGUUUUACAUUAUUAUUUUAUGUAAAAGAGCAGUUCCAACAAGAUACUAAUGAGGAUAAGACGGCAUCAUCAGGAUAGCAUGUCUUUUCAGAAUCAGAAAGAGUGAGCUAAGAAACAGAAAUGAGCUGGAACUUACCAGUAGUUAAGUGUGAGACGAGGAUCUUUGAGCAACAACAAGGAGGAAGAGGAAACAACAGAAGAAGGAGAUGAAUGCCAGUGGACUGAUUGAUGGCAGGAUUACUGUAGCCCACCAGACAGUGUGAUCCUAUAAAUGACAAAAAUGAUCACGAGGACAAUAAGGUGUUGGCAAAGCAAAGGGAGAAUUAGGGCCUUUCUACAAGGCCCUGUGCACUUCACCUGAAAUCCUUUAGUCAUCUGUGUCUGUCACAUUCAGACAAAGUCAAAUUGGGAUAGGUGCAGAGGAAGGCUGCGAUGUUAAGCAGUUUAAGUUAUGAGUGAGCUGCUUUAUGAGAUUAAGAGCCUGCUAAAUAAAGCCAGUCUUCUAUCCUACAGCGCGUCCAAAGCCAUGGGGGUACUCUCAUAGCCUACGAAUGCUCCCCAUUAGCACCAAGUCCCACUUCAGUGGGAGGCAGAUUUUUCUUCAAUAGCCUUAGGAGAGACCAUGUACCCUCUCCUGCAUGAUGACUCUAAGAGGUGGCAGCAAAAAGUGCCUCAAGUAGAAGUACCCCAAGCCUUAGCUCAUCAGGAACAGAGGAAGCUCAGAUUCAGCCUUCCCUGCUGCUCCUGCAGAUUUCUGCUGCUCUCCCUUUGCUUCCCAGAACAAACACAUCACUAAAGGUCAUGUUUCUCAUCAGGGACUGCAAGUUCCUGCACAGGUUGUGCCCCGGGCAGAGCUGCAGCGCAGCACCCCAUGUCCUCACCCGCUCUCACCUCCCUGCAAGGAGGCCAGCGUAAUUGGGUUCCUAUUUUUUGCUCUUGCUACAGAACGCCUGAAAAGGAAAAAAAUCUCUUCUAGGAGAAAACAGGUUUGAAAGAAAAGAAAUAUACCCUGAGCCUACUGAGCUCAGUGACUAUAGUGAUAUACCCCCUACACAUGUUUGGACACUUAAAGGAGGUGCUCCAAGUCUUCCUCCUGGUGUACGUGUGCUCUGUAUAGACACUGGUCUUCCACAGCCCUCUGUGUGGAAUCCCUGCAGUGCAGAGCUUCAGACAGAAGCGUGCUGUCCCAGCGCUGACUGUGAUGAGUGAGGCAGAGACGUACCCAAGGGAGGCAUGGGGCAGGAAAUUCAUGCUUGAAAUCUCUGUAGGCUAAAAAAGCGUACUCGGCCUGGUUAGAAAUCUGAGUUCCCAGUGCAGGCUGAAGAAAGCAAUGCCUUCACGACACAGCAGAAAGCCGUCCUGCCCCGAGGCUCUUCCUGAUGGAGCAGCAUCCCUACCCAUCGCCUGGUGCUCUGCGAGGGCUUCCAAUCGGAUCUGGCGGCUUUGUUCUGCUCGAUAGCGCCGUAAUGGGUCGUUUCUCCGACCUGCGCCGCGUGGGUAACAGAGGGGUCACGGAGGCUCCCACGUUAAGUCACCGGGGGUAGGAAUGAGACUCUAGAAGGCAGCUACACUGUUGCCAUUGAAGCCUGCUAGCCAGAGCUUCGCCAGCAGAGCUCAUUCGCUGGACUUCUUCCCCAGAGCACGUUUUUAUUCUCUUGUCGGCUUUUUGCUGCGUGUCUCUGUCUUUUUACGAGCAGCGCUGCAGGCUGUGCCCGUGACACUGCCUUCCAGCACCGCUCCUUCCGUCCGCACGGCUGCUCCGCGCACAUCUGCCUGCACUGAGCGUCGGGGGACGGAUUCCUUUCAGCUCCGUCCCUCCGAGAAACAACAUUUUGCCUUCUACUGCCCUGAGAUGAAUGAACUACAGAUUACUCCCACCAAGUUGUACUGAAACACUCUUGUAAUGAUACAAAAUACUACAAAAUACUGCACUGAAAGAAACCGGCCAGGCGCCAUGUAUACCAAUUCAAGCAUGGAGAAAUGGAGGCUGCUCACCAGUGGCUGGGUCUGCAAGAGACACAGCGCUGAUGCUGGCAAGUUUCAUAGUAAUGACUACUACAGACAGCUCUGGGUAGAUUUGGUAGUGGAUAACAGGUCACCACAUAAUUCCUUCUCCAGUAGGGAUCGUCUAGAUGAAAUAAAUAAGGAGUGAAGCUGCAUAUGGUUGCAAGAACAAUUUUCGGGUACCAUGGAUCAUGGAUCUCUCAUUUUUUUUUCUGGAUAUUCAAAACAAAACAAAACAAAACAAACAAAAAAAACACCAACCAAACAACAACAAAAAACAAAAACAAAAACAAAACAAAACAAAAAAAACGGAGGCUCUGAAAGCACCCCAGCCCCCCUGCUUCUCUCCUUAACUUCCUUAUGUCCUCAGCUGCAGUUAGGACUCUCCGGGGAGAACUUGUAUUCACUUAAUGCAGACUUGACUCAGCAAAAUGCGAUGAGGCACUGGCCAGACACUCGGUGAGUCCAUUUCAGAGAGCUAUGAGGGAACAGCCCUCUCUUCCUCCUCCUUAGGUGCCCCUGCAGAUUCCUGCUCCAGAAUUGGCUGGAUAACGGUACCAUUGGGUGAGUAGGGAACGCUCCCAGAGAUGGGUGAGCUGCUUGCACGCAGAGCAGCUGACAGCCGGCUGCACGUCUGCUGCUCAGUAAAGACACGGUUGCAGCCUGACAGAGCAGCACUGAAAAUUUCAUAAUGGAAAAUGAUAACAAGGAGAUUGCCUUCAGCCUUGGGGAAUGUGAUCUAAUCCCAAAUGGGGGAGGCAUGCAGACAAACCUGACGCUCUUCUGCACAAACCUUAACCCUUAAGAUAUUAAGAUAUUUGGAUACAUAUCUUAACAGAUCUUAAGCUUUGUGGGUUAUUCUUAUUAUAUUUUAUGUUUAAUUAUUUUAUUAUUAAAUUGCUACUCAUUAUUUUGUGCAUAACGCUAAGCCAGUAAUUUCUUAAACUCUUUGGCUCUCUUCAGACAGGAAGGUUACGCUCACUUAGCAUCUAACACAGGAGUUUAGCUUUCAGCUGAUAGUACUUUGCAUCUUACUUCAAUAUGUUCUGAUUAAAUAUGGCAAGUUGAAAUAUUCCUUCUAAUACUGGAAUUAUGUUUUUCUUAUAAAAGGAUCCCAGGCGGCCAAGUAACAGAACAGAGGUCUCUGGCAGUGAAAUGAAUACUAAUUCAAAAACUGAAGAGUACUGUUUCUAAAUGGGAAAGAUUCAGAAAUGAUUGCAGUGUAUCGUCCUGAAACAUAUAUUCUCAGGUUCCAGAUCAAUGACCAGAUAUUAAUUAAUCCCUAUGUUUUCUUUUGAGCUCAUAUCAGCUGGGAGGAAGUGCUUCAUAUGGUCUGGCCACACUGUCCAAGGAACACUGGAUCCCCUCAGAGAAGCAUGACCCUUCCCAUGACUUCUUGGAAAUGGUGGAUCUCUGUAAUGAAACUGCACAUUUACCUUUUAUAUACCAUCUAGGAAAACACAGCAAAAGCCAUAUGGCUCAAGAAGACAUCUCCUAUAAUUAGAUAUCACUUAGCACGGUACCUAAUUGUACGGAUGCAGAGCCUACAUCUGUUGGAACUGGGCGUAGCAUGAAAUGUCAAAUGCAGAUUUAGAUGCGAGUAGGACUGCAAAGGGGAAAUUAAGCAUCUUUGACAUUCUUUUAAUUGAGAGAGAAAGAACUUUCUGAUGAGUUUGUGAAGAUUCUGAUGGGGAAGAGCAAAAGGUUUGAAGAAAUCUGAAUCUUUUCCCAGCAGGAAGGUGGAAUAAAAAGUACUUGGAGUACUUGUUACCUAUCUCCCCAUAUCACUCCCCCACAGAGCAGCAGAUUUCUACUCCUAGCUGGUAAAUAUAUUUUUAGUAGAUGCUGUUGGAACAAGAAAGUCCAAAUGAAUCCUCAAAUACUUUUCUUGGUUAAGGAAUUUCCCAUGUUGUGAUCUUGGCUAUUCUCUCAAAACAUUUGGGAAGCCAGCUCUGAUGAAUUAAAAGCAUCUGACCUGAUGUAUGACAUUCUAUAUACUCUAUGUCAAUUAAGUAAAAAAUUAAGUCAAACUUAAGCAUCUACCUGAAGCUGUCUGCCAUGGAAAUUCUUUGUUGUCGUCAUAGUAGGGAUUUGCAUAAGCUGUAUGGCUUGGAUUUAUUUUGAAUAAAGAGGAAAGAAGAACUAAGAGAUCACUGAGUACACAUCUUCUGAAAGCACAGAAUGAGAUGGGGAAACCCAUGAUGCUGACUGGACUGAUGUCAAGAACAGGAGAACCUACGUGAGAUGCCUGCAAGGUGUACAGCUGUAGGUGCCUCACGCUCUGCUGACAAGAUCCCUACCAGCUCCAAAGGCAGACUGAAGUGACUGUAGAGGGCUUUACAUGUGAGCUGGAGGCAGGCACCACUGGAAAGAGUCUGGCUCCAUUGCCUUUGCAUCCUCCCCUCCAGUAUUUAUGGACAUUGGUAAGAUCUUCCCCCCCACUUCCUUCUGGUCACCCCUGCACCUUUCUAGCUCUUCACCUGACCUAACCUGCAGAGCACCUGCAGAGCUUCAAGCAACGCUGUUCUCUACCUGUCCCCCACCUGGUUUGGGGCAUGCAGAAGAUGUCUUGGAAAUGCUGGGUGUAAUUCAUCUUUCAUCUGGAAGCACAGUAGUCACUGAGUUCCUCUAGGAUAUUAAAACCCAAGGUUCAAUUCUAUCCUCUCGUCAAAGAAAGUUGAAUCAUCAGCACUCAUAAGCUGAUUCACCUCCCUAAAGACAAUGAAUGCUAUUUGUUUUCUAUAUCAUAAUUUAAAAUAGUCAUUGAACUGGAGAAAGAUUGUUUUAUAGCCCAGUGGCCAGAACAUUCAUCCAAGGGGUGAGAGGAGCAGAGGGUAUUUCAUAGUACUUCUCUUGAGAUGACGCAGUCCUUGUCCUUCCUUUACUUACACUGUCAGACCACACCAAUAUGCGAGUACGAGAGUUCUUCAGAACUCCUCAGGCCCAGUGACAAAGGAUAUUGUCUGCCAUGGACAUUUCCAUUCAAACAAUAAGAAGGAUCUGAUAAAGGGAAUUUUCAAACCUCUGGGGUCUCGGAAACCACAGGACCACCUCUGCAUGCUCUGAUCUAAGCUUUUAAUACUUGGGUUACACAAACGUUUUCAAUUUGAUUCCGUAUAGAAUCGUUUAGCUUUUUAUUUCCAUGAGGGAAAAAAACAUAAUUAUUUGGAUGGAUCUGAACUACUUUUUUCCGUGUUUGAUUUUGCAACCAAAAAAUUCCUGAUAUGCAUAACACAUGAGAACUAUAAUUGCUUUCCAAUUCCUUAUCAGCACAUGAUCAUCCUCGCACUGAAACGCUACUCCCAGCUCCAGUACACCAACCUCCAACAUCUUUACACUAGGUUUUACACAGCUCUAAUGUGCCAAGGAUUUGAUCUGUGCAUUUGACUUUCAAUUAUAAUACUGUCCAUUGUAACACCAUAUGUCUGUAUCUACCAGACUGACCCUUAUGUUGCCAAAUAUGAGAAUCAGACCGAUUAAGUUGAGCUCACCAAUGCUUCAGCUCAAACUUCAGAGAGAAACUACUACAGUAUCUGUAUUUCUUCUUAUAGUAUUGAAUGACAAUUUGUUGAGAGCUUGUAAGCAAAAUUAGACUUCUACUUAUAUUCAUCGGCUUGAUUUAGUAGACUUAAUAUAUAUUCUCUUCUGGUUUCCUUUAUGUUAGUUCUGUAUAUUCAGAAUACAUGUUGCAAGCUCCAAAACCAUUACAGCUCCAAAACAACAGCUUCCCUGUAUGUACUGGUAAACAAUCCCUGCAGAAGUACUGCAUGCUUUGCAGUGACAAAAAAACAAAUGACAAACAAGACAUAACAGGUGAAUGGCAUCCAACAUUACCAUGCAUUAAAAAAGUGCAUGUAUAUAAGUAAGAAGAGAAUGCACUAAUAUAAUUAAGAAAUGGUCUUUUAACUUGGGAUUUAAAGAGCAGAGCGGGCCAGCUGUACAGAUAGCAAAAUGAAGAAGAGAACUCCACACGAGAGCCAAAUGAGCAAUCACACAAACCUGCGAGGCAGCAAACUGCACAGGGGGUGGGGAGCAGAACUAAAUCAGAAACAGAGAGUAUGUUGCAGAAGGAAAUAAACGUGAACCAUAUGGAAGAAUAUUCACAACACAUUAGUGUUUAAUUAGAUAAUAUAAUGGAUAAGGACACUUCUGCAGCGUCAUCAUAAACAAAGAUGAAUGGAAAAUGUGCUACUAAUAAAAACGGGUAAUGCAACUGCACUACAACUGUAAUUUGAUCAGUCACAAAUUUAAAAUAAAAAUAAUAUUUUGAUAUGAUAUUUUGCUACUGCAUCUAGUCGUAGAAAAGGAAGCACAGAAGCAGACAUUCUCAUCUGAGGUUCCAGAUACUUCAAAAGCAGAGCAAAAAAGUCCCCACAACUGCUUGCAAUCUGACCCUUGCACCCAGACUGGCAUCCCCAUGUCAUUGUGAACACACACAGGGCGCCUUUUGGAGAAAAAGCAUGGAACGGCCCUUCCAAUUUUCUUCCUCUUCUAAACUAUGACUUAACUGCGUGAAGGCUCUAAAAGAGAGAUAACAUCUGAAGUUAAUAUUAGCAUAGGAAAAUGAACCUGGAGGCCCUAGAUUUGUUUUCGUGCAUUUACUUUAUACGGCAUGCCAAGCUGACAUAGGUAACAGCACAGGUUAAUUGCUUCUGAGAGAAUAACAGAAGGCAACAAAUAGAGCAAAAGGAGAGUGAGAGAAACAAAAUGUUUUUUGAAGGCCUUUGUGAUCUUAACAAACACUUCUGAACAAGGAUGAUUUCUGAAAAGUCAGUCGCAUGCAUGCAAGUCAUCAUAGCUAUAUAUAGCUGCACACACACUGAUGUUUGGUGGCAGCUUACAUCCUUAUGUCUCUCAAGCAGGAUCAGUCUUUUCAAGUUGUGCAUGUCAAGAUGAUUUAUUAGCAGUCAGAGCUUCAAGCUUUAAAUGAAUAAA